GGGGAAUCUUCCGCAAUGGGCGAAAGCCUGACGGAGCAACGCCGCGUGAGUGAAGACGGCCUUCGGGUUGUAAAGCUCUGUUAUACGGGACGAAUAAUCUUGUGGUUAAUACCCAUGAGAAGUGACGGUACCGUAAGAGAAAGCCACGGCUAACUACGUGCCAGCAGCCGCGGUAAUACGUAGGUGGCAAGCGUUGUCCGGAAUUAUUGGGCGUAAAGGGCGCGCAGGCGGCUUCUUAAGUCUGUCUUAAAAGUGCGGGGCUUAACCCCGUGAUGGGAUGGAAACUGGGAAGCUCAGAGUAUCGGAGAGGAAAGCGGAAUUCCUAGUGUAGCGGUGAAAUGCGUAGAUAUUAGGAGGAACACCAGUGGCGAAAGCGGCUUUCUGGACGAAAACUGACGCUGAGGCGCGAAAGCCAGGGGAGCGAACGGGAUUAGAUACCCCGGUAGUCCUGGCCGUAAACGAUGGGUACUAGGUGUAGGAGGUAUCGACCCCUUCUGUGCCGGAGUUAACGCAAUAAGUACCCCGCCUGGGGAGUACGGCCGCAAGGUUG
Molecule: ribosomal RNA, 550 nt
Filed under: uncultured bacterium
Lineage: Bacteria
Description: bacterial SSU rRNA
Rfam family: Bacterial small subunit ribosomal RNA
Source: RNAcentral